Long non-coding RNA from Harpia harpyja (harpy eagle), 1407 nucleotides. RefSeq lists it as uncharacterized. The record is from RefSeq and is a predicted model, not a curated record. The transcript has 3 exons. NCBI's taxonomy places the organism in Eukaryota, Metazoa, Chordata, Aves, Accipitriformes, Accipitridae.
CCCGCCGCCACUCGCCUGGUUGGGGUCGGUGGCCCGGAAGACGUGGCAGGCCAUGGGGGAGUCGGGGUUGUCGGGCUGCGCCUUGAUCAGUCAUCCCAUGAAACUUUCUGGCACAGCGGACUUUGAAUCCAGUGGAGAACAACAAUGCUCUUUGUUUAAAACGAAGUUUUAAUCUCGAGUCCUGUGUGCUUACCUGUAAAUCGACAUCUGUUGUCUUGACUCUGUUGACCAGUGAGCAUCUUUUGUCCCCCAUUCCCAAAUGUGAGAAGCAGCAUGACAUAGCACACCGGUGAUUCAUGCAAGACAUGCACUUUCAUUCCUCUACUCAUUUUAAAUGUAAACUUUUAACACCCCUCUCAAGCUUCCUGCAUGGUUGCAGCAUCCAGUACUUGCCAGUUCAGAAGCAUCACUGGGAAAGAAGCCUGCCUUGCUUUAAUUCGGCCAAGCUUUCGGAUGAAUGGUUUUUUUUAAAAAACACCUGUAACCUGCCUAAGACACAGCAGUGAUGACAUUCUGGCCCCACUAAUGGGGAACAGAAAAAUUCUUUGCAGUUUCAGUAGUGCCAAGAACAUCGGAACAUUAUUUUUCAGAUUCAGAGGUAAUUCACAGGGGAAUUAAGCAACAGGGCCACUGUCAGUGGCAGAGAAGUAUAUUCCUACGUGUGGCAUAAAGACACUGAAUACUAGGCUGCAUAACAAAAUACAGAAGAAGUGUAGUCAUAUGUUUGAAUUACCGCCUAGCCGUGGUGAUACUGCUCAAUUUAGGGUUAAACAUGAUGCAUUAUGCUUUAAGGAGAACCACUACUCAAUAGUUUCACUAUAUAGGCCUGGUUACUCUGUAUAAACAAUGCAGGCUUUACCCGCAACUAUACCUUUGAAGAAGGAACUAAAGACUGAUAAAAAGAAAACAUCCUGCUCCAGAAGGCACCGAAGGCCGUAUGAUUGCCAAAGAAGCAUGAACUAGGGGAAAAGUAAAGGCGGCAGGGGGAGAUCACAACCACCGACUCAAAGACCUAAAAGACUUACCCCCCCCACUCCUUGAACAUGUGCUGUAGAAUAAAAGAACACUGUACUUUUAAUUUGAAGCAGAGAAAACCUUAGCCCAAUAGAAAUGGUGGCACAUAAGCAACUACCAAUAAUGAUUGUGGGGAAGGGCUUCGGUAACUAAGUGGAUCAACCUAAAACUGUAUAAAUUGCUUGCCUGUUUAAAUGCAGGGUGUGCCAGCUUUGUGGAGUCACCCUCUGGCACCCAUCUCUGCGCAGACAUGAAAUAAACAAUAUCUCGGCUCUGUGUGUAAGACUGGCUCAUUGCACACCGGGUACCAAACCCCACUUGGGGGACAACAGAAGGAUUUUAGAGUGGUUAAACUGCAUGAAAACCUUGGAUAGAGAAAUGCAAAUGCUUAUU